AAGUGGAAAAGGAUGUGGCGUUGCCCAGACAACUAGGAUGUUGGCUUAGAAGCAGCCAUCAUUUAAAGAGUGCGUAAUAGCUCACUAGUCGAGUGACACUGCGCCGAAAAUGUACCGGGGCUAAACAUAUUACCGAAGCUGUGGAUUGUCCUUUGGACAAUGGUAGGAGAGCGUUCUAAGGGCGUUGAAGCAUGAUCGCAAGGACAUGUGGAGCGCUUAGAAGUGAGAAUGCCGGUGUGAGUAGCGAAAGACGGGUGAGAAUCCCGUCCACCGAUUGACUAAGGUUUCCAGAGGAAGGCUCGUCCGCUCUGGGUUAGUCGGGUCCUAAGCUGAGGCCGACAGGCGUAGGCGAUGGAUAACAGGUUGAUAUUCCUGUACCACCAUUAUUCGUUUUAAGCGAUGGGGGGACGCAGUAGGAUAGGCGAAGCGUGCUGUUGGAGUGCACGUCCAAGCAGUGAGAUUGAGUGUUAGGCAAAUCCGGCACUCUUAAGAUUGAGCUGUGAUGGGGAGAGGAACUUGUUCCUCGAGUCGUUGAUUUCACACUGCCGAGAAAAGCCUCUAGCUAGAAUAACGGUGCCCGUACCGCAAACCGACACAGGUAGUCAAGAUGAGAAUUCUAAGGUGAGCGAGCGAACUCUCGUUAAGGAACUCGGCAAAAUGACCCCGUAACUUCGGGAGAAGGGGUGCUCUUUGAGGUUCACGCUUCGAAGAGCCGCAGUGAAUAGGCCCAAGCGACUGUUUAUCAAAAACACAGGUCUCUGCUAAACCGUAAGGUGACGUAUAGGGGCUGACGCCUGCCCGGUGCUGGAAGGUUAAGAGGAGUGGUUAGCGCAAGCGAAGCUACGAAUCGAAGCCCCAGUAAACGGCGGCCGUAACUAUAACGGUCCUAAGGUAGCGAAAUUCCUUGUCGGGUAAGUUCCGACCCGCACGAAAGGCGUAACGAUUUGGGCACUGUCUCAACGAGAGACUCGGUGAAAUCAUAGUACCGGUGAAGAUGCCGGUUACCCGCGACAGGACGGAAAGACCCCGUGGAGCUUUACUGUAGCCUGAUAUUGAAAUUCGGUACAGUUUGUACAGGAUAGGUAGGAGCCUUAGAAGCGUGAGCGCUAGCUUACGUGGAGGCAUUGGUGGGAUACUACCCUAAUUGUAUUGGAUUUCUAACCCGCAGCACUUAUCGUGCUGGGAGACAGUGUCAGGCGGGCAGUUUGACUGGGGCGGUCGCCUCCUAAAGAGUAACGGAGGCGCUCAAAGGUUCCCUCAGAAUGGUUGGAAAUCAUUCAUAGAGUGUAAAGGCAUAAGGGAGCUUGACUGCGAGACCUACAAGUCGAGCAGGGUCGAAAGACGGACUUAGUGAUCCGGUGGUUCCGCAUGGAAGGGCCAUCGCUCAACGGAUAAAAGCUACCCCGGGGAUAACAGGCUUAUCUCCCCCAAGAGUUCACAUCGACGGGGAGGUUUGGCACCUCGAUGUCGGCUCAUCGCAUCCUGGGGCUGUAGUCGGUCCCAAGGGUUGGGCUGUUCGCCCAUUAAAGCGGUACGCGAGCUGGGUUCAGAACGUCGUGAGACAGUUCGGUCCCUAUCCGUCGUGGGCGUAGGAAAUUUGAGAGGAGCUGUCCUUAGUACGAGAGGACCGGGAUGGACAUACCUCUGGUGUACCAGUUGUCGUGCCAACGGCAUAGCUGGGUAGCUAUGUAUGGACGGGAUAAGUGCUGAAAGCAUCUAAGCAUGAAGCCCCCCUCGAGAUGAGAUUUCCCAACUUCGGUUAUAAGAUCCCUCAAAGAUGAUGAGGUGAAU
RNAcentral lists this ribosomal RNA (1791 nucleotides) under Staphylococcus pseudintermedius. RNAcentral describes it as "partial 23S ribosomal RNA". It matches the Rfam family "Bacterial large subunit ribosomal RNA", at positions 1061 to 2857 of the family's 2925-position model. Lineage: Bacteria; Bacillati; Bacillota; Bacilli; Caryophanales; Staphylococcaceae. The record is from RNAcentral.